This 342-nucleotide transfer-messenger RNA is filed under the name pig gut metagenome. It matches the Rfam family "transfer-messenger RNA". From Rfam's summary of the family: Bacterial tmRNA, also known as 10Sa RNA or SsrA, is named for its dual tRNA and mRNA-like properties. Its role is to liberate the mRNA from a stalled ribosome. To accomplish this part of the tmRNA is used as a reading frame that ends in a translation stop signal. The record is from RNAcentral.
GGGGUAGUACCGGUUUCGACGGGGAUUUUGAAUCUGGAUAAGCCAUUCAUGUACCGUGCCAUGUAAAAAGACGGAACCUAAACAUAAACGCUAACGAUAAUUUAGCAUACGCAGCUUAAUUGCUGUGAGUCGGCCCGCUGCUUCCGCACGGCGGUCAACCGGCUUCGACUUUGCGGAGCCCUCCAUCGUCAAAGCUUUGAGGCCCUGGAAGAUUCAUGAAGCUACCAAAACAUGUGUACCUGUUUACCGGUCCGCAUUGAGGGAAUAAAAAAAGAUAAACUAUGAUGGUAGAAAGUUCGGUGGAUGGGUUUUCGGACAGGGGUUCGACUCCCCUCUACUCCA